This 328-nucleotide unclassified non-coding RNA is filed under the name soil metagenome. RNAcentral describes it as "partial contains 5.8S ribosomal RNA, internal transcribed spacer 2, and large subunit ribosomal RNA". The stretch from base 1 to 120 matches the Rfam family "5.8S ribosomal RNA", at positions 35 to 154 of the family's 154-position model. The record is from RNAcentral.
GAUGAAGAACGUAGCGAAAUGCGAUAAGUAGUGUGAAUUGCAGAAUUCAGUGAAUCAUCGAAUCUUUGAACGCACAUUGCGCCCCUUGGUAUCCCGAGGGGCAUGCCUGUUCGAGCGUCAUUUCACCACUCAAGCCUGGCUUGGUGUUGGGCGACGUCCUCUUUGGGGACGCGCCUCGAAACGCUCGGCGGCGUGGCACCGGCUUUAAGCGUAGCAGAAUCUUUCGCUUUGGAAGUCGGGGCCCCGUCUGCCGGAAGACCUGCUCGCAAGGUUGACCUCGGAUCAGGCAGGGAUACCCGCUGAACUUAAGCAUAUCAAUAAGCGGAGA